RNAcentral lists this transfer RNA (60 nucleotides) under Euhadra herklotsi. RNAcentral describes it as "tranfer RNA-Asp". The record is from RNAcentral. Lineage: Eukaryota; Metazoa; Mollusca; Gastropoda; Stylommatophora; Camaenidae.
UUUUAUUUAGUUUAAUAUAAAAUGAUUACUUGUCAAGUAAAAGAUGUGUAUCAAUAUAGU